RNAcentral lists this ribosomal RNA (400 nucleotides) under uncultured archaeon. RNAcentral describes it as "bacterial SSU rRNA". It matches the Rfam family "Archaeal small subunit ribosomal RNA", at positions 1 to 406 of the family's 1478-position model. The record is from RNAcentral.
UUCUGGUUGAUCCCGCCGGAGGUCACUGCUAUUGGGAUUCGACUAAGCCAUGCGAGUUGUGAGGGUUCGGCCCUCGGCAGACGGCUCAGUAACACGUAGAUAAUUUGCCCUUAGGUGGAGGAUACCCUCGGGAAACUGAGAAUAAUACUCCAUAGAUCUAGACUGCUGGAAUGCUUUUAGAUUGAAAGAUUUAUCGCCUAAGGAUAAGUCUGCGUACUAUCAGGUUGUAGUUAGGGUAAAUACCUGACUAGCCUAUGACGGAUACGGGUAGUGAGAGCUUUAGCCCGGAGAUGAUAUCUGAGACACGAUAUCAGGCCCUACGGGGCGCAGCAGGCGCGAAAACUUCGCACUGUGCGAAAGCACGGCGAGGGAAUCCCAAGUGCUGGCUCGUAAGAGUCAG